RNAcentral lists this transfer RNA (73 nucleotides) under Chroomonas placoidea. RNAcentral describes it as "tRNA-Phe". It matches the Rfam family "tRNA". Rfam says of the family: Transfer RNA (tRNA) molecules are approximately 80 nucleotides in length. Their secondary structure includes four short double-helical elements and three loops (D, anti-codon, and T loops). RNAcentral also lists the same sequence under 1 other name. The record is from RNAcentral. Lineage: Eukaryota; Cryptophyceae; Pyrenomonadales; Chroomonadaceae.
GCCGAGAUAGCUCAGUUGGUAGAGCAGUGGAUUGAAAAUUCACGUGUCACCAGUUCAACCCUGGUUCUUGGCA